CAAUUGCCUCUAAUGUCCUCUACUAUGUUGAAGAAACUGGUUGGUUCUUCCGUAAACAAUGGGAGGAAAUGCGGUGGUGAUCCAUCCAGAGUUGCUGUGGCCACUCGUUUCCAGCGGGCUUUCAUGCGACUUCUUUGCAAUGCACAGUUUGAAGAGCUAUCGGCUAGCGAUUUAAUGGAAGAGAGCCUCUAAGGCCAAUGCUAUAAUUUACAGGCGGGGUUAUGCAACUGAGAGGCAGAAGGGCCUACUGCUAGUUGAAAAAUUGGAUUACAUACAGUCCAAACUUCUGCAAGGAAUUCUCGUUACCAUAUCAAAACCAUUGGGGAAGCUUGGCGCGUGGGUGAUUGAGAAAUUGAAAGGUUCUUAUUCCACCGAAGAAAUCAAGGAUUGGACAAAGAAGUUUAAGCAUUGGGUUUUAGAAGCUUCUGACUUGCAGA
This is a long non-coding RNA of Eucalyptus grandis, 437 nucleotides long. RefSeq lists it as uncharacterized. The record is from RefSeq and is a predicted model, not a curated record. NCBI's taxonomy places the organism in Eukaryota, Viridiplantae, Streptophyta, Magnoliopsida, Myrtales, Myrtaceae. The transcript has 4 exons.